CUUGGCGGUCAUAGCGAAGAGGUCACACCCGUUCCCAUCCCGAACACGGUCGUUAAGCUCUUCUGUGCCGAAGGUAAUUGGGGGCUGUCCCCCUGUGAGAGUAGGUCACUGCCAGGC
Non-coding RNA from Sporolactobacillus inulinus, 117 nucleotides. Lineage: Bacteria; Bacillati; Bacillota; Bacilli; Caryophanales; Sporolactobacillaceae. The record is from Rfam.